GAUGAACGCUGGCUACAGGCUUAACACAUGCAAGUCGUGGGGAAACGGCAUUAUGUGCUUGCACACUCUGGACGUCGACCGGCGCACGGGUGAGUAUCGCGUAUCCAACCUGCCCCUUACUUGGGGAUACCCCGUCGAAAGACGGCCUAAUACCCGAUGUGUCUCAUUGACGGCAUCCGAUAUGAAACAAAGGUUUUUCCGGUAAGGGAUGGGGAUGCGUCUGAUUAGCUUGUUGGCGGGGCAACGGCCCACCAAGGCGACGAUCAGUAGGGGUUCUGAGAGGAAGGUCCCCCACAUUGGAACUGAGACACGGUCCAAACUCCUACGGGAGGCAGCAGUGAGGAAUAUUGGUCAAUGGACGCAAGUCUGAACCAGCCAAGUAGCGUGCAGGAUGACGGCCCUAUGGGUUGUAAACUGCUUUUAUGUGGGAAUAAAUUGGCGCACGUGUGCGCCAUUGCA
This 459-nucleotide ribosomal RNA is filed under the name uncultured bacterium. Its description in RNAcentral is "bacterial SSU rRNA". It matches the Rfam family "Bacterial small subunit ribosomal RNA", at positions 28 to 473 of the family's 1533-position model. The record is from RNAcentral.